RNAcentral lists this ribosomal RNA (424 nucleotides) under uncultured prokaryote. RNAcentral describes it as "bacterial SSU rRNA". It matches the Rfam family "Bacterial small subunit ribosomal RNA", at positions 355 to 796 of the family's 1533-position model. The record is from RNAcentral.
UGGGGAAUAUUGGACAAUGGGGGCAACCCUGAUCCAGCCAUGCCGCGUGAGUGAUGAAGGCCUUAGGGUUGUAAAGCUCUUUCGCUAGGGAAGAUAAUGACGGUACCUAGUAAAGAAGCCCCGGCUAACUUCGUGCCAGCAGCCGCGGUAAUACGAAGGGGGCUAGCGUUGUUCGGAAUUACUGGGCGUAAAGCGCGCGUAGGCGGGUCAUUAAGUCAGGGGUGAAAUCCCGGGGCUCAACCUCGGAAUUGCCUCUGAUACUGGUGACCUCGAGUCCGUGAGAGGUGAGUGGAACUCCGAGUGUAGAGGUGAAAUUCGUAGAUAUUCGGAAGAACACCAGUGGCGAAGGCGGCUCACUGGCACGGUACUGACGCUGAGGUGCGAAAGCGUGGGGAGCAAACAGGAUUAGAUACCCCCGUAGUCC